Long non-coding RNA from Austrofundulus limnaeus, 589 nucleotides. RefSeq lists it as uncharacterized. The transcript is spliced from 4 exons. The record is from RefSeq and is a predicted model, not a curated record. NCBI's taxonomy places the organism in Eukaryota, Metazoa, Chordata, Actinopteri, Cyprinodontiformes, Rivulidae.
CGAGCUUUGUGCGGGAAGGUUUUGUGUCCAAACCGGUCCAGUGUCCUGUGUGUCCGUGAGGCCGACAGUAAAGACUUUGAUGAGCUGAACUCGCCCACAGGUGACACCUGAAGGAGCUGCUGGCAGGUCGGGGCUGAACAGCAGACAAGCUUCAGGACGCCCUCUGCGGUGAUGAAAGUACAGGAGUGGUGCUGAUUGUGUGAACUGGUGAAUAAACGGAUAACUCCCCAUUUUUACCUCCAUCCUGAGAAUGUGUCAGAUCCCGUCCUCUUCUGUCCUCUUUUUCCUUCCGGUCGGUUUCAGCCUUUAGGAGCAAACUUCUCCUGAGGAGCAGAGAGGAGAGCAACCAGCUCUGUGUUUCUGUCUGGAGCCAGACCAGCAGCAUGGAUGGAGAGGAGGAGCGCCCAACAUUUACGCACAUUUCACUCCCUCCCUGUCAACUAGUUCAGGAAAAGGGAAAAAAAAAAGUGGGUUUGAGGACUUUCAAAAUAUAAUCCUGCUCAUUUCUGUUUUUGCUCAAACUAAUGAGCAGAUAAAGAGAACUGGAUUUGAAAUAAAAGCUUUAUAGCGUUUGUAAAGAUGCAUUUUA